GGAGAAAUGCCGGAGUGGUCGAACGGGGCAGUCUCGAAAACUGUUGUCCCGCUUGUCGGGACCGAGGGUUCGAAUCCCUCUUUCUCCG
This 88-nucleotide transfer RNA is filed under the name Bacteroidales bacterium. RNAcentral's name for it is "tRNA-Ser". It matches the Rfam family "tRNA". From Rfam's summary of the family: Transfer RNA (tRNA) molecules are approximately 80 nucleotides in length. Their secondary structure includes four short double-helical elements and three loops (D, anti-codon, and T loops). Lineage: Bacteria; Pseudomonadati; Bacteroidota; Bacteroidia; Bacteroidales. The record is from RNAcentral.